GCCUGGGUGGCUCAGUCGGUUGAGCGUCGGACUUUGACUCAGGUCAUGAUCUCGCAGUUCGUGGGUUUGAGCCCCGCUUCGGGCU
Non-coding RNA from Felis catus (domestic cat), 85 nucleotides. Lineage: Eukaryota; Metazoa; Chordata; Mammalia; Carnivora; Felidae. The record is from Rfam.